RNAcentral lists this ribosomal RNA (311 nucleotides) under uncultured bacterium. RNAcentral describes it as "bacterial SSU rRNA". It matches the Rfam family "Bacterial small subunit ribosomal RNA", at positions 28 to 333 of the family's 1533-position model. The record is from RNAcentral.
GAUGAACGCUAGCGGCAGGCUUAAUACAUGCAAGUCGAGGGGCAGCAGGGGUGUAGCAAUACACUCGCUGGCGACCGGCAAACGGGUGCGGAACACGUACGCAACUUACCCAAAACUGGGGAAUAGCCCGGGGAAACCCGGAUUAAUACCUCGUAACAUAAUGGAGUGGCAUCACUUUAUUAUUAUAGCUCCGGCGGUUUUGGAUGGCGUGCGCCUGAUUAGGUAGUUGGCGGGGUAACGGCCCACCAAGCCUACGAUCAGUAACUGGUGUGAGAGCACGACCAGUCACACGGGCACUGAGACACGGGCCC